GACGAACGCUGGCGGCGUGCUUAACACAUGCAAGUCGAACGGAAAGGCCCUGCUUUUGUGGGGUGCUCGAGUGGCGAACGGGUGAGUAACACGUGAGUAACCUGCCCUUGACUUUGGGAUAACUUCAGGAAACUGGGGCUAAUACCGGAUAGGAGCUCCUGCUGCAUGGUGGGGGUUGGAAAGUUUCGGCGGUUGGGGAUGGACUCGCGGCUUAUCAGCUUGUUGGUGGGGUAGUGGCUUACCAAGGCUUUGACGGGUAGCCGGCCUGAGAGGGUGACCGGCCACAUUGGGACUGAGAUACGGCCCAGACUCCUACGGGAGGCAGCAGUGGGGAAUAUUGCACAAUGGGCGGAAGCCUGAUGCAGCAACGCCGCGUGCGGGAUGACGGCCUUCGGGUUGUAAACCGCUUUCGCCUGUGACGAAGCGUGAGUGACGGUAAUGGGUAAAGAAGCACCGGCUAACUACGUGCCAGCAGCCGCGGUGAUACGUAGGGUGCGAGCGUUGUCCGGAUUUAUUGGGCGUGAAGGGCUCGUAGGUGGUUGAUCGCGUCGGAAGUGUAAUCUUGGGGCUUAACCCUGAGCGUGCUUUCGAUACGGGUUGACUUGAGGAAGGUAGGGGAGAAUGGAAUUCCUGGUGGAGCGGUGGAAUGCGCAGAUAUCAGGAGGAACACCAGUGGCGAAGGCGGUUCUCUGGGCCUUUCCUGACGCUGAGGAGCGAAAGCGUGGGGAGCGAACAGGCUUAGAUACCCUGGUAGUCCACGCUGUAAACGGUGGGUACUAGGUGUGGGGUCCAUUCCACGGGUUCCGUGCCGUAGCUAACGCUUUAAGUACCCCGCCUGGGGAGUACGGCCGCAAGGCUAAAACUCAAAGGAAUUGACGGGGCCCCGCACAAGCGGCGGAGCAUGCGGAUUAAUUCGAUGCAACGCGUAGAACCUUACCUGGGUUUGACAUGGAUCGGGAGCGCUCAGAGAUGGGUGUGCCUCUUUUGGGGUCGGUUCACAGGUGGUGCAUGGCUGUCGUCAGCUCGUGUCGUGAGAUGUUGGGUUAAGUCCCGCAACGAGCGCAACCCUUGUUCACUGUUGCCAGCACGUUAUGGUGGGGACUCAGUGGAGACCGCCGGGGUCAACUCGGAGGAAGGUGGGGAUGACGUCAAGUCAUCAUGCCCCUUAUGUCCAGGGCUUCACGCAUGCUACAAUGGCUGGUACAGAGAGUGGCGAGCCUGUGAGGGUGAGCGAAUCUCGGAAAGCCGGUCUCAGUUCGGAUUGGGGUCUGCAACUCGACCUCAUGAAGUCGGAGUCGCUAGUAAUCGCAGACCAGCAACGCUGCGGUGAAUACGUUCCCGGG
This 1343-nucleotide ribosomal RNA is filed under the name uncultured bacterium. RNAcentral's name for it is "16S ribosomal RNA". It matches the Rfam family "Bacterial small subunit ribosomal RNA", at positions 28 to 1378 of the family's 1533-position model. The record is from RNAcentral.